Molecule: long non-coding RNA, 102 nt
Organism: Ipomoea nil (Japanese morning glory)
Lineage: Eukaryota; Viridiplantae; Streptophyta; Magnoliopsida; Solanales; Convolvulaceae
Exons: 3
Source: RefSeq, a predicted model, not a curated record
CUUUAAUGAAGGUUUUAGGGGUUGUUAUUUGGAUGUUCUAGGUAAGUGGUUAACUCUUUCUCUCCUUAUUUUGCAAAACUCAUAACCUAUUUUGGAAUCUCU